Molecule: ribosomal RNA, 491 nt
Filed under: uncultured bacterium
Lineage: Bacteria
Description: partial 16S ribosomal RNA
Rfam family: Bacterial small subunit ribosomal RNA
Source: RNAcentral
AGUGAACGCUGGCGGUAGGCCUAACACAUGCAAGUCGAACGGCAGCACAGUAAGAGCUUGCUCUUACGGGUGGCGAGUGGCGGACGGGUGAGGAAUACAUCGGAAUCUACUUUUUCGUGGGGGAUAACGUAGGGAAACUUACGCUAAUACCGCAUACGACCUACGGGUGAAAGCAGGGGAUCUUCGGACCUUGCGCGAUUGAAUGAGCCGAUGUCGGAUUAGCUAGUUGGCGGGGUAAAGGCCCACCAAGGCGACGAUCCGUAGCUGGUCUGAGAGGAUGAUCAGCCACACGGGAAAUGAGACACGGUCCAGACCCCUACGGGAGGCAGCAGUGGGGAAUAUGGGACAAUGGGCGCAAGCCUGAUCCAGCCAUACCGCGUGGGUGAAGAAGGCCUUCGGGUUGUAAAGCCCUUUUGUUGGGAAAAAAAAGCAGCAGGUUAAUACCCCGCUGUUCUGACGGUACCCAAAAAAUAAGCACCGGCUAACUUCGU